CUUGUCCAUAAAACUGGGGAAAGGCACACACAGAAGGAACCAAAUUCUGGGAAUGCAUCAUGGCUCAGCCAAAAAUAUUGCUGGGGACUUGUCUGGGCACAGAUCUUACUCUGCACACUUGAUUUCCCUGUGCCCCUUGGGGUGCAAAACUGGGGUCCUUUAGCUGUGCUAGAGGCUAGAAUGAGAAUUUCUUGGUGUGAGCCCAUUUAAAAUAAUCAUUUAUUUUACAAUUUAAGCAGCUUUUUAACAGCGUAUAAAAAAAUGUAUGAAAGUAAUUUGUGCUCAAUGGAGAAAACCUGGGUAAUAUAGAGAAGCAUGAAGGGGGAAAUAUGCCUUUCAUUCAGAAAGAACAUUUUGACAUGUUACUGAGUUUCACCAAUUUAAGUUUCAUUUCUGUUCUUCCUUGAUCCAGCCCACAGAAUCUGAUUGCCCAGUCUCAGUCUGGCACUGGUAAAACAGCUGCCUUUGUCUUAGCCAUGCUCAGCCGAGUGGAGCCAUCAGACAGAUACCCCCAGUGUCUGUGCCUUUCCCCAACAUAUGAGCUGGCGCUUCAAACAGGAAAAGUGAUUGAGCAGAUGGGCAAAUUUUACCCAGAACUGAAACUUGCCUAUGCCGUUCGAGGCAAUAAAUUGGAAAGAGGCCAGAAGAUCAGUGAGCAGAUUGUCAUUGGCACCCCUGGGACCGUGCUGGACUGGUGCUCCAAGCUCAAGUUCAUUGAUCCCAAGAAAAU
Molecule: small RNA, 730 nt
Filed under: Pan troglodytes (chimpanzee)
Lineage: Eukaryota; Metazoa; Chordata; Mammalia; Primates; Hominidae
Description: retained intron
Source: RNAcentral